This 894-nucleotide ribosomal RNA is filed under the name Triticum aestivum (bread wheat). RNAcentral describes it as "partial small subunit ribosomal RNA". Lineage: Eukaryota; Viridiplantae; Streptophyta; Magnoliopsida; Poales; Poaceae. The record is from RNAcentral.
AUGGUCAAGAAAGGAAUCCAGUAUGUCGUGGUGGAUGCCUUCACGGCCCAGCCGUUCAAGGGCAACCCGGCGGCGGUGUGCUUCCUGGAGGACGACGCGGCCGCCCCCGCGGGGGACGGGCGGUGGAUGCAGUCCGUCGCCGUCGAGUUCAACCUCUCCCAGACGGCCUUCUUCUCCCGUGACUCGUCCUGCGCAGCCGACGCCACCACGCCGCGGUUCCACCUCCGCUGGUUCACCCCCGUCACCGAGGUCGCGCUCUGCGGCCACGCAACGCUGGCCACCGCCCACUUCCUCUUCACGUCUGUCCUCGCGGAGCGCCAUGGCGUGGUUGAGUUCGCGACCAAGUCCGGGGUCCUGACCGCCAAGAAGGUUCCUGCACCGGAGGCGGAGGAGCAGGGGAAGCUGUUCAUUGAGCUGGACUUCCCCAUGAGUGAUUAUGUGGGUUGCGAUCCCGCCGACGAGCUGCCGUCCAUCCCGGAGACGCUCAACGGCGCGCCCGUCGUCAGUGUUCACAAAUCAGUGGCCACCAACGACUUCAUUGUUGAACUUUCAUCAGGAAAAGAGGUCGCCGAUGUCCUUCCUAACAUCGAAGAAAUAAGAAAGUGUGCCGGCAGAGGUGUGAUUGUUACAGCACCGGCGCCUGCUGGAUCGGGUUAUGACUUCUUCACACGCUUCUUCUGCCCAAAAUUUGGGAUUGAUGAGGAUCCCGUAUGUGGCAGUGCACACUGUGUUUUGGCACCCUACUGGGGUGGAAAGCUGGGGAAGCAAAAACUGAUAGCGUUUCAGGUAUCUCCAAGGAGUGGGGCACUAUACCUGGAGCUGGAUGUUGCGAAUCAGCGAGUGCGGAUUCAGGGAGAAGCUGUUACUGUCAUGGCUGGGACACUCUUCGCUUAG